UUAUUUUAGUUUAAAUAUUUUUAUUGUUUUCAGUUAUUAAAAAAUAUGGCUGAAACGUCUAAGGUGUUAAUGUAAUGCGUAAAACACAAUUAUUAAAACUGGAACAUAAAAAGAAAAUGACUAAUUUAGAUUGUCAUUGGAGACAACAUUAUUUUUUAGUAAAAAGCACAAGUUAAAAUCAUUGAAACAAUUGAGACUAUCCUUGUAUGCUAAAAUAUAACAUGAAUCAUACCAAGUAAAUAAUGAUAUUGUUGAUAGUGUCAUAAUGUGCUUGGAUUUUAAUUUGUCUUACCAAGUGUUAUAAAGUAAGAGUAAAAAAAAAAAGGAUGGUCAGGAAUUACAAGGACAAAAGUCUCGGCUAUUUAUUGCACGAAGAAAAAGAUACAACAAAAGGAUGACCAGGAAUUAAAUAGAUAAAUGUCGUCUCAAAUGACAAUUAACAAGGCUCUUGGAUUUUCAUUGACAUCAGAGAAUUUACAACUAAAAAUGGCAACAGAUACAAAAAAUAGAUAGCCAGUUAUUAUUUGGAAAGUAUGUCUAAAUAAGUUACAAAGAUCUUGGCACUUUAUUAAACAACAAAUGAUGUGAUCGAACUUAAUUAAUCUGCAUUGUGCUGACAUACAGAGAUGAAACUAAAGUGAGAUUAUUCGACGAGUAAGUGUGCUGUUUCAGCACGAUUAGCAAGUGGUGAAAAUGACGAUGAUCGUGAUGCCAGCACCACCAGUGAAAAUUUGAUUAUGAUUCCUGUGAAGCCCUUGCUGAGAUGGAUCCAAUAGAGUCCUUUUCAGUUUAUUCCAUGAUUUGUAAUUCGAGCUGAUUAACAACAAUGAUUUAAAAUUAAAAAUUUAUUAUAUAUUGAAAAAAAAAAAAAAUUGUCUUGAUAUUUAUCAUUUUUUUUUUGUCUUAGGAAAAAUCAUAUAACAUUGUCAAUUGUACCAUCUAAAUCAUCAUUCAUGCUCUAUUAAUGAAGUGCUUCAAACAUUAUUUCAACAAUCAUCAAAUGAAACAACAACAACAUGAAAAAUAUAGUAGAGAGACCAUCUUCAUAAUGUUAUGCUUCAACAAUGAUGAAUCCCUGAUGAUAAAAAAUUAUUCCUCAAUUAUUAUGAAUGUCAACUUCAAUUGGAUUUACAAAUAAUUGAAUUUGAAUAAGUCUCAACACUUGAAGAAUUAUUUAAUAUGAUUUUAUGAGAAAACUUUGUCUUUUUUUUUACUACGAAAUUGAAGACCAUGACAUGGUUCCGAUGUUGUUGAUUUUUAUGCUCUUUUUAAUGUACCACCACUUAUUGUUGAUGUUGUUAUUAUUGGUUGAACCUCGCUUUAGAGUUGCAAGAGCGCACUGCUCUCUGUUGAAAAAAAUGUACGAAAUAUUAUAACACAACUAGCUCGAGAUCCUCUUUUCAAAUUGAUAAAUCGUUUUCAAAUAAUAAUAGUAUUACAAAGUGAA
Long non-coding RNA from Aphidius gifuensis, 1447 nucleotides. RefSeq lists it as uncharacterized. Lineage: Eukaryota; Metazoa; Arthropoda; Insecta; Hymenoptera; Braconidae. The record is from RefSeq and is a predicted model, not a curated record. The transcript is spliced from 5 exons.